RNAcentral lists this ribosomal RNA (379 nucleotides) under uncultured cyanobacterium. RNAcentral's name for it is "bacterial SSU rRNA". It matches the Rfam family "Bacterial small subunit ribosomal RNA", at positions 376 to 770 of the family's 1533-position model. Lineage: Bacteria; Bacillati; Cyanobacteriota. The record is from RNAcentral.
CGCAAGCCUGACGGAGCAACGCCGCGUGAGGGAGGAAGGCCUGUGGGUUGUAAACCUCUUUUCUCAGGGAAGAAGAUCUGACGGUACCUGAGGAAUCAGCAUCGGCUAACUCCGUGCCAGCAGCCGCGGUAAGACGGAGGAUGCAAGCGUUAUCCGGAAUUAUUGGGCGUAAAGCGUCCGUAGGCGGCUAAUCAAGUCUGCUGUCAAAGCCCACAGCUCAACUAUGGAGAGGCAGUGGAAACUGAAUAGCUAGAGUGUGGUAGGGGCAGAGGGAAUUCCUGGUGUAGCGGUGAAAUGCGUAGAUAUCAGGAAGAACACCAGUGGCGAAGGCGCUCUGCUGGGCCAUAACUGACGCUGAUGGACGAAAGCUAGGGGAGCG